RNAcentral lists this transfer RNA (60 nucleotides) under Bahadzia jaraguensis. RNAcentral's name for it is "transfer RNA Leucine". Lineage: Eukaryota; Metazoa; Arthropoda; Malacostraca; Amphipoda; Hadziidae. The record is from RNAcentral.
UCUAAGAUGACAGAAUAAUGUAAUAGAUUUAAAAUCUAUAAAUGGGCUUUCCUCUUAGAA